AGUGAACGCUGGCGGUAGGCCUAACACAUGCAAGUCGAACGGCAGCACAGUAAGAGCUUGCUCUUACGGGUGGCGAGUGGCGGACGGGUGAGGAAUACAUCGGAAUCUACUUUUUCGUGGGGGAUAACGUAGGGAAACUUACGCUAAUACCGCAUACGACCUACGGGUGAAAGCAGGGGAUCUUCGGACCUUGCGCGAUUGAAUGAGCCGAUGUCGGAUUAGCUAGUUGGCGGGGUAAAGGCCCACCAAGGCGACGAUCCGUAGCUGGUCUGAGAGGAUGAUCAGCCACACUGGAACUGAGACACGGCCCAGACUCCUACGGGAGGCAGCAGUGGGGAAUAUUGGACAAUGGGCGAAAGCCUGAUACAGCAAUACCGCGUGGGUGAAGAAGGCCUUCGGGUUGUAAAGCCCUUUUGUUGGGAAAGAAAAGCAGCAGGUUAAUACCCCGCGGUUCUGACGGUACCCAAAGAAUAAGCACCGGCUAACUUCGUG
This 492-nucleotide ribosomal RNA is filed under the name uncultured bacterium. RNAcentral describes it as "partial 16S ribosomal RNA". It matches the Rfam family "Bacterial small subunit ribosomal RNA", at positions 29 to 507 of the family's 1533-position model. The record is from RNAcentral.